Molecule: transfer RNA, 82 nt
Filed under: Comamonas sp.
Lineage: Bacteria; Pseudomonadati; Pseudomonadota; Betaproteobacteria; Burkholderiales; Comamonadaceae
Description: tRNA-Leu
Source: RNAcentral
GCCGCUAAAACACUGGAAUCUAUACGGGACUCAAAAUCCCCCGCCGCAAGGCGUGCCGGUUCGAUUCCGGCCCCGGGCACCA